Argiope bruennichi is the source of this 4381-nucleotide long non-coding RNA. RefSeq lists it as uncharacterized. The transcript has 5 exons. The record is from RefSeq and is a predicted model, not a curated record. Lineage: Eukaryota; Metazoa; Arthropoda; Arachnida; Araneae; Araneidae.
UUUGCUCAUUCUAAUUAUUCUCAACUCUUUAAUUUCACGUUGGUGCAAGUUGGGAUAUAGGCGGAGAUGGGCUUGAAACGUUGCUUUGAAGUGGAAGGGAAGAAUGCUUGACAGAAUGAUUAGGCCACUCCGAAAUAGGUUUAUCAUUAAACCAGGUCUUUCUUCAUAAUUUUUAAAAUCUUUUUUUCGAUUUGAAUCGCAUAAAUUUGACAGCUAUAUAUGUGUGUCUGACAGAAUAACCGUCUUUUUGUUUUGAGGUUUCCACUUUACAUAGGAAUAAGCUCGAACCGGAUUGAAUAACAGAAAAAUCGAUGUUAGUUUUGUGAUAUUUCGGAGAAUCUCUCAUAAUUAGAACCGUGCUGAAAUCGACAGUUAAAAUACAUUAUGAUUUUAACGAAUAAUCGAAAUUCUUCAUGGAUAAUAAGGAUAGACAAAUGGCACUUGAAUAACAUACUGAUGAACAGAAAAGAUUCGAAUUCAUAUUGCGGUGAAAUUAGAUAUUUGAUUCCCAGAGUCUUUGGUUUACUGCGUUUUCUUUAGAAUUGAGAUCGAUAUAAAAAAUCUACUGGCUCGUUGAAAAAUGUAAUUCCUUGAAAUGCGUAAUACAUACUUUUUCUCGAAUUACAUUUACUUACUCGUAGAGUGGCAAUAAAUUACUUGUAUAUUGGAAAUUAAACAAUAUAUUCUAAAAUUUCUAUAUCUCGUUUAAAACCUAUUUUUAAAUUUCACCUCGCGGUUCUUGCCAUCUUGGGUAGUAUUAAUUCCGUAUACGUAUGAAGCAUUUCGUUCUUCUAAACACCCCCCCCCCUCAAUAUUCAAAUUAAAAUCAACCUAUAAUAUAUGAAAAAUAUUGUGGAUUUCUUUCUUUUCUUUCUAUAUAUAAACUUAUUCCCCUACUAGACGUUACAACAUGGCAACUCGUACGGAAAAAAUCGUUCAAUUCGUGCUCGCGAAUCAAUUAAUCCUAAAGUGACUAGAUAUUUUUGAGGUGCAAUAAAGUAUAAUUUCUACUGAAUAAAGUAACCGAGUCUAUUUGAACAACUACAGGUCCAGAAAUUAUUACGAAUUUAGUUUGUCCCAUAUCAAAAUUCGAAAACAGAGGUUUGAAUUAUCUCGUGUACGGAAUGCGGAUGGAUUCUAAUUACCUUUUGAAUUGAAUGAAAGGAAGUAAUCGGCUAAAUAAGGGAUAGGAAAAGGCUUAGAAAUGUAAUCGAACUAAGCACUGGAGAUAUUGUCUUUAAAUGCAGCUAUUUUGAACGUAUAUGAAAAUGGGUAAUUUUCGUGUUGCAUUUCUCUAUCCUUAGAUGCAUAAAAAAAAAACUUAUUCUUCUCAUAAUGCUUAAACAAUUGGUUGCAGCUUUAAGGCAAAGGAAGUUGUUCCGUUAGAGGGCAAAUUUUUAUUUAAAAAAGUAAGAGUGGGAUAAUCUCUAAUUCGUCAUUUAAAAUUUAAACACUAAACUGCUAGCUGCCUAUUCGUAUAUUUUUAAACAUUAAAAAAGCCAAGACGCAUUGAAAUCUGAACAUUUGGUGUUUUGAUUGAAUAAGGAAGAAAUAAUCUCUGAAUAUUCUACAAAAGUGGCUUUCAAGUGACGAAAGUGCCCUAAUUAUGUAUAUUUUACUUGGUAUAGUCUAAUGAAAUAGGAAAGAGCCAUAGGGAUUGUUUUCUUGUGCCGUUUUUGAAAAUAUGCAGAAUGAAUAUUUAAUUUGAUAAGUUUCUGGGAUUAAAAUAACCUUACAGAUCAUUAAGCUGCCUUACUAGUACCAGGAAGAUUUUGGAUACAUCCGAUUUUUCACUCAUUUAAAAGAAAUGCAACCUCACAGAAAUUAACAACGAAACAAAUCCUGCAGUUGUUAGAGCAGCUGUCUACAGACUCUUCAGAUGUUUGUUGGAGCAAUGAAACAACGCCUUUCCCCAUAUGUGGAAUGACUGCCUUCUCAGCUCUUGGCAAAAAUUUUGUUGAUGGAAGCCAUCUGGAUGGCCAGGGGACUUCCUCUCGGUUCCGUACAUAAGUAAUAUCGUUUUUCUUAGGGUGGACAACUUAUCUGUGUCCAAAGCGCUGCGUCAAUCACCAGUACUGUUUUCUCGGUUCCAUGAACAUGCUAUCCAUCUAUACCGAUGCUGGAUGCGAGGAAGUAUUCUCUUAAGAUGCCAUCAAAAUAUAAGGAAAUAAAGGACACAGUUUUGAAGCGAUUACGGCACAACAGAUAACAUGGAGCUUCAAACGCAUAUUAGAAUUAGGAUCCUAUGGAAUUCGACUAACAGAUCAGAUUCAUUGGAUGAUUUAUAAAGCCUCAAAUAUUAGACUAAGCUUAAUAUAUCAACUUUGUAUAAAAAAAAUGCCGGAAUUUUAAAAAUCUGCACAGUGGAUUGAAAGCGAGAGAAAUAGUUAUAAUCUCUGCGUAUUCCAGGAAAGUGGCUUCUAAGUGACGAGUCUGAACUACGUUGAUUUCUUAGUCUGUAGAGGAGAAAACCAUGGCCAUUACUUCUUAAGCUGUUUUCAAAAGAUGAACAGAAAAAGCGAAUGAGAAUUUCAGUUUUUAGAGUAGUAAGAACUUUGGAGAUAUAUCAAUUUAAAUUACUUUACUUAUACCUGAAAGCAUUCUGACGGAAUACUCCGUUUACUCAUGAUGGAACGUCUUGUGAAUCGAAAGAUGCAGAAUCUCUUGCAAUUGAUAUUAGAGCAGCGCAUUCUGCAAAGAAUAGAGGCCAUUUAAUUGAACAACGGCUUAAUACCACUUCUCAUCUGUGCAGUGAAUAAAUACCAUUUUGGCUCCAGCCACAAAUUCUAAAUAUUGGAGAUGUCUGGAUUGGCGGAAAAAAUGAUACUGAAGCGAUAUCGGUAUUCAUAGGUCAGACAAUUUACGAUCAUUAUGGAUGCAUCUUUCUUGGGUAAAAGUGUCACCAUCAGUAAAAAGGCUUUUUCGGUUCCAGAUACAAGACGUCAACACUCACCAGUUUCCUUAAGAUAAUUUGAAGUAUCAAAUUAUGAUGUCUACAUGUUUUAACCCAAGUGAUCAUGGUACAAGAUACUAUUUGGAGCCUUCAACCUUGCAAUUCGGAGCCUUUUCAAUGGAACUAUGGAGAUCCAAUUUAUGCAGUUGAGUUUAUAAAAUUCAUUUUGGCUUCGCCUAAACUUAUUUGUGCAAAAAAUGAAUACAUAAAUGGGCUUCACGAUGGAAAUGUGAUAAUGUAUAUAAUCAACGUUAAUUGAUGAUAUCAAUACAUCUUUGAAAUGUUUUAUUCUAUUCUAAGAGCAAGAUACUGAAUAUUUAUAUAAUUUUUUCCAACUUUGCAAAGCUUGAAGUGUGCAAAAUAUCGGAUUCAAAACAAGUGUUUGGCAAUUCAAUCAAUAUUUCAUCUAAAAUUGUCUGGAAACUUUUAUUCUUAUACCAACUUUAAAAUAUUGGUCUUCAUUCAUUUUCUUCAAAUGUAAUACUUGUUGUUUUUUAAAUCUCUGAGAAAUAAGCAUUUUAAAAACAAUCGACACUGGUGAAAUGGCUUGUAAUAUGGACAACUUAAGAUUUGGUAGUGUAUUUAAUUUUGCUAGUAAUCUAAACCAACUUUCCAACAAGACAAUGAUUUAUAUUUCAGAUAAAAUUCGUUUUAAAUAUAGACAGGAAUCGCAAUUGUUAUGAAAUAAAACUAUUUCAUCUGAAUAGUGCAUUACUUCAUAAUUAUGAGUGAAAAAUGAAUCUUUUCGCCAUUAAUGACCUGUUACGAUUAUUUUUAAUCAAAUUACGAUUUAAUUUUGCUCUGUUAAUUAUUUUUUGUAAACUGAUCUGUCUUUAAUUUUACCUGCAGAUUUUUCAAAAUUAUUUGGCAUCAUUUUACACUGAAUGUCAAUGCUCGUGAAAACAUGAUCUUGUCCAUUUCGCUUUGUGAUUAUAAAAUGAGUUAUCAAAUAAUUCGAUAUGUUCUUAUGACCAUAUGCAUGAUUCUAGUAUAUUGAGGAAUUUUGCAUUUCAUAAAGAUUCUGAUAUUCGCCUUUCAAAUAUUUGUUAUACAUGUGGGAAAAUUAUUUUAUGCUUAAUAUAUGUAUAUUGUUUCAUACUUAAUUGCAGUGAUGUUUUCCAAGAUAUUAAAUUAAAAAAAUUUUGGUCUCAAAGUAAACUCUGAAAUUAUGGAGUUUGCUUUAAUAACCAUUAUAUGCAUGUUCGGCUAAUUUAAAAUAUACGAAUAGCAACUCCUGUCAAGAAAAAUGUCUAUUGUGUAUGGAGGAUAAAUUGACGUACUGUUAGCAUGCAUGUUUUUCUUGUAUUGUUUGAAAUUUCGAAAGUAUUUUCAAUAAAUAUUAAUCAAUCGUAAGUCGUAUUUACGCCCAUGAAACAGUUUGGUAUUUUAAAGAGACUUUUAAUGGUAACAUUAUAAAUUUUGAUAAUA